This 118-nucleotide non-coding RNA is filed under the name Arthrobacter woluwensis. RNAcentral's name for it is "SAM-IV sequence". It matches the Rfam family "SAM (S-adenosyl methionine) riboswitch aptamer". From Rfam's summary of the family: SAM-IV is a mRNA element that regulates gene expression via direct sensing of S-adenosylmethionine (SAM or AdoMet). The record is from Rfam by way of RNAcentral. Lineage: Bacteria; Bacillati; Actinomycetota; Actinomycetes; Micrococcales; Micrococcaceae.
GGUCAUGAGUGCCAGCAUCGAGCCCCGGCUUGCUGGCCGGCAACCCUCCGUCCGCGGCGGGGUGCCCCGGGUGAAGACCAGGCGGGUCGGCAUGCAGGCCGGCACGCAAGCGCGGGCC